Brassica napus (rape) is the source of this 1703-nucleotide RNA transcript. It is a transcript of the gene named protein CPR-5, with no coding region annotated. The record is from RefSeq and is a predicted model, not a curated record. NCBI's taxonomy places the organism in Eukaryota, Viridiplantae, Streptophyta, Magnoliopsida, Brassicales, Brassicaceae. The transcript has 5 exons.
GAGAAAGAGAAAGGAAGAAACAGAUAAUGGACAAGGAGGAAGCGUCUACAGCUAAUCCGAAUUCUAGUCGAAGGGUUCCGAGAGUUGCUAAUAGACUGCGAACGCGGUUAGGUAUGGCUCGACGAAACGUUAGGGAACGGAAAGCCGAAGCCUUAGCUCUAGGCAUGUCGUUUGCGGCUUUUGCCACUCUGGUUGUUGAGAAAAAGAAUGCUGCCGAUGAGAAUACAGAUGUGGCUGAUCUCGCAUUGAUUUAUGCUUCUGCUGUCAAAGAAUCUUUAGCCAAUGUAUACGGUACUAGGAUUGGUUCAUUUGGAGAGAGAUCAUUUAACAGUACCCUAAGGAUCCUUAAAGUGACCAAUGAUUCUGUCGAGAAAUCCAAGCUAGAGAUGGGCGUUUCUGAAGCUGCACUCAGAACCGAGAGGUUGGACGCCGACGACCAAACAUAUGAAACCGAACUGGAAGCCGAGAUGAGCACAGUCAUCAUGAAUUGGCUCGUCUCAAGUGUCAUCAACGCUCUGGCGUGGAUGUUAUAUGUUUCACGUGCCUUCACACGAACAUGCAUGAAAGAAAACAUGUUGAUGUGCCGGCAACCAUUUUGGUUGCAGAUCUAUUUCGCUAUCUUAGUGAUCCUCGUAGUCACCUACUUGAUAAUCCAUCGUUCACCAGGUACAAAACAUAGCACGCGAGCACCUUAUAGCCUUCUUUUACUCGGAGGUAUUUUUUACGGUUUAUUGGAUAUGUACUUGGGGGACGCAUUGGACAGUAUUGGCAAACUGUGGCUGUUUCUUUGGGCAACGGUUUGCCUUCUUCGAUACGUUGCAGAUACCAUCACUUUGGCUAUGUUUGGUCUAGUGUACGGUCCACGAUAUGUGACUCAAGAGACCAAAACACGCACUAUGGUUCCGUAUUGGGAACGGGCAAGUUCAUUACUUGUAGCGAUUCUGUUGUUUAUUCCUCUGAUUAACGGUUUCUUGCCAUUUGCAACGGUUGGUGAAUUGGGAGAUCAGUUUGGUGAAUGGUGGACAUCACACUUCUCAAUCCUCGCGUCUGCAGUUAAUCUUUGAUUAUUUAUUUAUUUCUUUUACCAUUUGCAUUUGGGACUUUUUUUUAUCUUGUAAUUUUUGAGCUUUUGGGGUUUUUUUUUUGUGUGAGUUGUCCAAACUUCUGCACUCUUAGACCAUGAUUAUCGCCGAUGUUUAAUGGAGUUUCUAAACUAAAUGACUGAUUUAAUUAAAUAAAAAAUAAAUAAAAGCUUUAUUACCGAUCCUUAGUUAGUGAUUUUUGUGAUCGAUCGUUAGAGUGGUUUUCCAACCACGUGUCAGUAUCCCAUUUAAUCAACUUUUUUUCUUUUCUCUCUUUCUUUACUUUCUCAUCACUUCUCGUCGUGAUCUCCGUCUGCGAAAGGAUCCAAACCGACGACGGACGAAACCCACCAUCGACGUCUCCUCCAUCUUCUCCAUCAGAAGAAGGAUCGAAACCCACCACAAUCCACAAACGAACUUUUUUCUGUUAAAAUCUUAAGAGAAGCUAAAAGAAUCACAGAGGAAGCAAGUCAAGUGUUGAGAGAGAUAUAUAAAGGCGAUGGCUUUUCUGAGUAAAUUCGGAAACGUAUUGAAGCAGACGACGAGCAAACAGCUCAAUGCUAAUUGUUCUUUAUCAAGUCCUUCCCUUUUUCAGGCGAUAAGGUGCAUGUCAUCUUCUAA